UUCAGGUUGAGACUGAGUUGGAGUGUGAGAAUCAAGAUACUACGUGAUUCUGGAAACUUCGGUGUUGGGCGUGACUUCCUGGUGCAUAAGAGUUUCCAGUAUUACAUCGCUUCUUGGUUGCUCAUAUUAGAUGAAUACCAAGUCCCCGAGCCUCAUGUUGAAAUGUUUGUCUACCAGGUUUGCCAAUUUGAUUAGAUGUAUGUGUGUUCUCAUGGGAAUGUGAAACUCCCAUUCCGAAGAUAUCGUAACUCCUAAUAUCACUUCCCAUGGAGUAUUUGUUCAUGAAAAUUGAGGAAAGAGAAACGGAAGGUGGAAACUUCUACAAUCUGAAAUGAGCAUCCAUACGAAGGUGUCCAGACUAAGGUCAUCAAAGACAAUGAUAGGGAAGAGAAGUAAUUUAGGAAAAUUUCUUCUCCUUGACAUCUGGAGAAGAAUGACAAACCAGUUGAUCUAAGGUGUCCAAGGGAUGGAUUAUGUGCCUGAGCUGAUGGAUAAUGCUUUAAUUGAUGAUCGAGGAUACAUGUGGACUUCAGUCAGACUGUUUCUAAGCUGUGGUCUCAAUACAAGCGUAAAGAGCAUCAAACUGGUAAAGGGAGAGAUACCACUGCCGACUUUGAUGGUGUUGUAGAUAAUAAAAGUAACAUAGACCUCAUGCAAUGUUUUUGCGUAGGGGGAUGUUGAAUGUGGACGAGCUUCUGAACCUCCAACUGUUAUCCCUGACAAGUUGAAGGAAGAUUGAACUGAUGCGUAUGGUACUAUAAAUGUUAGGUUAAAUUUUUAUGCGUGUGUUGAUCGAAAUUCUGCAGGGAAGGAGCUGUGUUCAAGCAUAAGAAUCAAAUUAAACGCAUCCCUUCAUCACCAGCAACGGGCACACAAGCUGUUUGUAUAAAUUCCUGAAUGAGGUUUGAAGUUGCGUGAAAAGUUAUUUGAGAUAAUAUCGAAGUAGGCUGUUUUGGAACUUUGGUCUAUUGUAGAAACGUGCGGAGUACAUAUACAACGAUGAAUGUGCAGACUUGCACUCUGCAUUUUUUUUUGCUCGGCUACUUGCACAUCUGCAUAGAGUUUUAGAAUUGAUUUAAUUUUGUUUAUAGAGAAAAAUAAUGUUAUGUGGAGAAGAGUUGUUGCUAUCACAGUUCACUUCCACAGUAUACGAAUCAAUGCAACCACGCUAACUGUAAACCAGUAAGCCUAUCUUGCCUGACGGUUAGAUAGAAGAGGAUAAAUACCAAAGUAUUUGGUAGGGGAGUCAACGUUAAGAAGUGAAUGUGUUUUGUUGAUUUGGCAUUUACUUGAACUGCAGUUGAAACCCAUAAAUGGACUAAUCGCAAAAAAGAACAAUUCGUCACAGGGAAAGUGGCUGAUAACUUUGAAGGUUUAUCCUUUCUAUAUUACUUCAUGGAAAGCGAUUACUGCCUAGUGCCUACCUAGCUAUAGAGUUCGUACCGACCGUGACAUACACGGAAGGGCAAUUAAUUUCUUUUAAAAUGUAUCAGCAAUUUCAUUCUUAAUUAUUAUUGUUAAUAGUGA
Molecule: long non-coding RNA, 1527 nt
Organism: Papaver somniferum (opium poppy)
Lineage: Eukaryota; Viridiplantae; Streptophyta; Magnoliopsida; Ranunculales; Papaveraceae
Exons: 3
Source: RefSeq, a predicted model, not a curated record